Molecule: RNA transcript, 4723 nt
Organism: Arabidopsis lyrata subsp. lyrata
Lineage: Eukaryota; Viridiplantae; Streptophyta; Magnoliopsida; Brassicales; Brassicaceae
Gene name: putative FBD-associated F-box protein At5g53635
Exons: 4
Source: RefSeq, a predicted model, not a curated record
UUGGAUGUAGCAUAAGGGACACUAUGUUCUUCUUCUUCUUCUUUACUCUUUUUGUCUUUCUAUUAUCAGUUUCAUUAGACCUUGAAAAACCCUAGCCUGAAUCAAUGUGGUUUAGUUUUUCUCUCUCACACUCUUCUUCUUUAUUCGUCACUGGAAGUUGUACUGAAGGAUUAGUGUUAGUUGCAAUUUAUGUCUGAAAUUUUUAUCAUUUCUUAUAGAUUUCUUUGUCUGAAAACAGAAAAAUUGAUGGCUUGUUCCAAAGGGUUGAAUCAGAGGUUGAAGGAAGAUAGGAUAAGCCAGUUACCUGAUCCUUUGAUUUGUCACAUUCUUUCUCAUCUUCCCUCAAAGGAAACUGUGAAGACAAGCGUUUUAUCCACCAGAUGGAGAAGUCUCUGGCUUUGUGUUCCUAGUUUUGAUUUGGCAUGUUGGCACCUCCCAAAGUUCAAUGACUUUAAGAGUUUUGGUGACAAGUUUUUCGAUUCCAAUAGGGUUUCAUGCAUACUAGAAGUUAAGUUAUUUAUUGGUGAUACUGGAUUAAGGAAAGGUGUAGAUGAUGUUCCCUCUUAUCUCACGCCAUGGUUUGAUGCUGCCAUAAACCGUAAGAUCCAACAUCUAGAUGCUUGGUUUCCUCCCUGUUCUUUUAAGAUGCCCCUAAGGCUUUAUACCUGUAAGACACUGGUCUCCUUGAAACUCUUUCAUGUAACCUUGGAUGGUGUCGAGUUUGUUUCCUUACCUUGUCUGAAGACUCUGCAUUUGAAAUAUAUGUUGUAUGGCAAAGAGGCCAAUUUUGAGAGACUUGUCACUUGCUGCCCUGUCUUGGAAGAGUUAAAGAUUUCCGGGUGUGUGAAUGAUAAUGCAAAAGUCUUUCGAGUGCUCUCUAGGUCAUUAAAGAAGCUUACAAUAAAAACACGCAAAGAUGAUCAGGGUUUUGGUUCGGGGUUUGUGAUUGAUGCUCCUCGACUAUGCUUUUUGAGAAUCAAUGAUAAAUUAUCAGAGGGUUUUAUAAUAAACGAUGUGGAUUCCAAUGCCAAGGUAGAUAUCUCUCUCUCUUUUGGUUUGGAUGUUAUUGAUGAAGCAAGCAUUUCAUCGAGGAGAAGUACCAUCCGCAGUUUUCUACACGGGAUUUCCAAGGUCAGGGACAUGACUUUAUGUAGAGACACUUUCAAGCUUAUCUGUCAAUACUCGAAAAUAGAACCGUUGCCUCAGUUUGGUAACAUGUCCACCCUGCGUGUUACUUUUCGUGUAUCUGAUAUGAAAUGGUUACCAACCUUUCUUGGGAGCUUCUCAAACUUGAAAUCCCUUAUCUUGGUAUGGAAUACUAACUCUAAGAAGAUGUAUUUCAAAGAGCUGCGUAAAUUCAAUUAUUCCACUGUGUCAGAGUGUCUGUUGUCGUCGCUUGAGUUUGUUGAUAUCAAAACAGGCAUCUCAGGACAUGCUGCAGAACUUCAGCUAGUAAUGUUCUUACUAAUGAAUUCAACAAUCCUCAAGAAACUGACUGUACGUUUGAAUUACUAUUGUACAGAUGAAAAGCACAUCAUAAAGACUCUCCUGGACCUCCCAAGACGCUCUACCAAAUGCAAAGUCGUCAUAUAUUGAUAUGUAAAAGGCUAGAGAGAGAACAUGUGAAGCUUAAGUUCUUACCUCACAAGAAAUGCAGUGCUUGCAGCGGCUUCGGCUGGGAAUCCAAUUCCAUAGAACUGACAAGAGAUAUUAUUUGAGUAGUGAGUGACAUAAGCUGCGAAUAUCCUAAGGAUUGUUGGCUUAUUAUUCCGGCAAGGUUGGAUCUUGUCUCUUUGCUUGAGAAAAUCUCUGUUUUUAUAUGGAUUUUACACGAACUUAGUUCUUCUUGCGCCAUUGGUUUGUAAGCUUCAAAUUUUAAGUUGUAGAGUUGAAGUGUUACUGCUAGAAGCUUUUAUCGAGCCCUAAAACACAAUCUUUGCUGUUUUUGAUGUAGAUUUAGUUGAUUCUAUGUUGAUUCACACUGGAGAAACAGAGUUUGUGUCUACUUGAUUAUGAUAUGUGAUUGUUGCGUUCUUGAGGUUGAUCUACUGUCCAUUAAUGUUUGGUUCUUGAACUUUGAGUUUAGGUGUAUGAUCUGACUCCAUUCAUAGAUGAUCAUCCUGGAGGCUAACAAAAUACGUUAAGUGAGAUAUUGUUUGAGUAGUGGGUGACAUAAGCUCUGACUUGGGAUUCGGCUGUGAAUCCAAAUCCAUUAAGAUGAGUGAUAUAUAAACUUCGAAACAGAAUCCCAACCCGAAUCCGGAAUACGAACAGGCAUUGUCGUUUUGAGAGAUUAUUUGGAGUUAUGAGGGAUACGGAUGAGUGAUUUGAGCUUCAACUCCAGGUCCGUCUCCGCCACGAAUCCAUCCAUAGAAAGAAUAUAGGAGCAAAGAUGGCAAUGAAAUUUUGCAAGUAUAAUUCUGAUCUUCUUAGUCCUCUUAGCUAAUAACACAUUUCAUUACGGCCCAUAUAGAAAACAAUUUUAACCCAUAUUGAGUUGGAAUGUUGGGCUUUUGUGUUAUAAACACAUUAUAUAUACCGCAGAACAUAACUACUGACUCGAGGCUUCAUAGAGUUCGGCAAGUGAUUUAAAAUUUCUAGCAAGUGAUUCCAUUCCGAUAGGUGAGAUCACGAUCUACAGUUCCGGUAAGUGAUUUCAUCCUGUUUGGCUGAAACACUGUAGGUUCUUCUUCUUCUUACUUUACCUUUUUCUUGGGUGAAAAGUCAUCUUCAUAACACCUUGAAACCCUAACCCUAAUUUGUCUCAAUGUGGUUUGUUGUCUCUCUAUCACUGUAAUUACUUUUUUCAUAUAACAUGAUGAGUCUUCUUCGUCAUGUUGCGAAUGUUGAUGUUAAUUUAUGGAUUUUGAAUUAUUUCUUUUCACUGGAACUUGAACCGAAAGUGUUGGUUGCAAGCAUAUGUGUGCCCUAUUAACUUGGCAUCUGGAACUUUAAGUUUUCAUUUUUGAAUAUUUUAUACAGAAGAAUUUGUUGGACUUAUUUUCACUAAAGCCAAAUAGGCUUAGUAAAAUAAGAAAUGGUGAAGAGAAAUGGUGGGGUGGGCAAAGCCUAGUAUCACUAAUGGUGGUAGGGUGGGCAAAGCCUAAAACCAUGGAAUGGUGGAGUUUUAAUCACUCACUCCCACUAAUGAUUUGAUUAGAAUUUGUUGUGGAAUUGGUUGAAGGCAACAAAAUUCAUUCUUCUAUAAAUGUUGUUUUGUUGUGUUGAAAACAGAGAAAAAAACAAACAUACGUUUAUACACAAAGAGAGCAACAAACAUACGUUUAUACACAAAGAAUCAAAUCAAAAAUUCCAUCAAAUCUCCAAGUUUUGAGAGUAAGUUUUGAGAGUAUCGUAGAGUUGUUGUUCGUGUAGAAUCGAGUUUCGAGUGCUUGCGAAAUCGAUUAGUGUGGUUGUAUCUUGGGACUCUUGAAUCUUAGAUUCCCGUCGCACUAUGGGUGAUUCAAAGAGUUAAGGAAAGAGUUUUAUAACUCGCCUCCACUUGUUAUUUUCUGGGUUUAUGAUUUCGUAAAUUUCAAUCAUCUUUCGUAGUGUUGCAAUUUUUGCUCCUACAGAAUUAAGUAUUAACACAUGGCUUGUAGAGGGAAAUCGAAACAGGCUCGUGUCAACGAGUUGAGUAGUAGGUUGAAGGAAGAUCGAAUAAGCCAGUUACCUGAUCACUUGAUAUUACAUCACAUACUUGAUCAUCUUCCCAUAAAGGACAUUAUUACGACAACCGUUUUAUCGACCAGAUGGAGAAGUCUCUGGCUUUCGGUUCCUUGUGUGGAUCUGAAUUCCAAAAAUCGCCAGAUUUUAAUGCCUUUGCAAGUUUUGGUGACAUGUUUUCUAAUUCAGGUCGGGUUUCAAAGAUCAGGAUGAUCAUAUGUCAAGACACUUUCAAGGUAUGUGUUUGUCAAUGCAGGGUAUUGCUUCACAUGCAUGUGUGUUUUUCUUUAAUGAAAAUCUCUUAGCCACAAUACUUUAAGUUGGUUUCAGGUCAUUCAUCACUAUUCCAAAGUAAAACCACUGCCUCAAUAUAAUUACAUGUCUCGCCUACAAGUUACACUCUGCGUAUCCGAUUUAGAUUGGUUGCAACCUUUUCUUGAGCACUGCCCGAAUCUAAAAUCCCUCGUAUUGGUGAUGAUUAUUCAUAUCUCUAAAAAGAUUCUGCAUAUUUUAUCGUUAUAUGUUUAUCCUCUCUUUUUUUUCCCUCAGGUAUUUGAUAAUUGUAAGAUGAUUCAUAUUAAGGAGAUGAAUAUAAUCAAAUCAGUUUAUCAGCUGUGCCUCACUGUUUCUUGUCGUCGCUGGAGUUUGUUGAUAUCAAAAACAAUAUCAGGAGAUAUAUGCUUCAGAAAUAGUUGAGAAGCUAGUAAGUUACUUUAUGGAGAGUUCAGCAAUUAAGAAACUGACUCUAAGUUCGCAAUGGAAUGUUUAUAUAGAUAAGUCUUCAUCAAGAUGUUCCUGAACAUCCCAUGACGCCCCGUCGAUUGUGAAGUCUUUGGACUGGUUUAGUCAGCUGAUAUCUUGCUGCACAAGAAAUGUAGGUGUUUCUUUGGAGUGAAAUAGAGAUUAAACUGUUUUAGGUACUUUUGCAAGAAAUCAUGAUGUCUUUUAUGCAGUGAAGUUUAUAAUUUGUCUUUCUUAUAAAGAACUUGAAGAAGUUUAUUUCUUAAACAUGUAUGUGUAUAUAAAUCCCUACAAAAAAAAAAAGUAUGUGUAUAUA